ACUCCGACUGCUGUGUAUUUUCUUCCGCUAUUGAUUUAUGUCAGAGAAAAUUAUAUUUUCAUGCUGAAGGGGCACUGAGUCCGAAUGUCCAUCUUGCUUGGAGACUCGUGGAAUCCUUAAAAUGACAGUAGCUAGUUCAAUUCCAUUUGUGUGCAAGACAUUACAUUUUACGAAAGCAGCUGUUUUUCAUGGAAUAUGUCCAGGUUUUCUCCUCAGGAUAUAAACCAGCGACCUCAUACUUCCAACUCAAGACCUAUCUAUCAACACGUUUUCCCAUGUAAGAUUUCCAUUAUGCAGGAUUCCGCCUAUGGUUGGAUCAGUGUAUCCAGGACUACAGAAAAUAGUGUCUCUUUUAAUUAGACUCAAAUGGGCUCAAGUCCCAUUAGAUUUUCAUAGAUUUCUUUUUCUUUCUUUCUUUUUUUUUUUUUUUUUUUUUUAAGUUACUCCAAAGUUUCUGGGAGAACUUGAAUGUAUUUUAGCUUUCAUCAACUCUAUGCCUUCCCAGUCCACAGCUUCUACAUUUCCAGAGGUUGAUGCAUUUUGGGCAGGUGUGCCUUGUUCUUCCCAAAUAACUCGACAAAAGCACUUGACCUCAAACAGGCCAUCUUUUCAAUUUUGGGAAUUUCUCUUGGGUAUAAGAUUAGAAAUGUGUCAACUUGUAUCAAAUAUGCCCUUAAGAAGUUACCAAAUGCAGUCUUCUCUGCUUUAACACUUGCUGCUUCUCUAUGUUCACUAGCUUAUUUUAAUUAUAUAGGGGAAGAUGAAAAAGAUUGAAGUCAAAAUGUUUCAAAUACAUUUCUACUCUAAUUUGUCCAAGAAAAGUAUUUAAAGUGUGUAUUCUAUUUGCUGAUGUGAUCUGAGAUUUUGUUAAAGUUAUAUUAUUCUGACAUUUGGGCAACAUAACAUAAUUACUUUCAAAUAUAUCCAGUUUAACUGUAUGAUUAAGGAAGAUUCAGAAAGCUCAGUCUUUGUUCUGAAUACCAUAUUAGUCUACAUCUGAUUUAUGAUGGAGCUACUGGCAAGAGUCUAUGAAUUUCUUUGCCUCUGUAACACUACAUGUAAAAUACCUGAUUCCUAAAUAUUUCUCAGGCUAACUUAGAAACAAAAAGAAUGAUGUAAUGUCUAAAUAUCUUUAAAGUUUUUUCUUCCUGAAGACGUUAUAAUGAUUCCAACUUCUUAGGGUGUCUAGACAAUUCUUUCCAAUUGGAAUUUUGUGAAUUAUAACGAGACCUUUUAUUGUGGAAUGGUUUAUUUUGUUUUGUUUUGUUUCAUCCUCUAGAAUCAGUGGUUACCAGCAUUUACAUGAGGCAUCAGGGGAAAAAAGAAAUAAUCGGGUUUAUAUUCCUAAGGUGACCGAAGUAUUAUGACUACUCAGUUAUUUGGAUUCGACUCAAGAUUAAAGUCUCCAUCUGUGAGCUUUAUAGCAGAAAAGUACUCUUUCCAAACUUUCCCUCCUGACAGGUUUUAAUUUAUUUAUUCAUGAGAAACACAGGCAGAGGGAGAAGCAGGCUCUCUGUGGAGAGCCUGAUGUGGGACUCGAUCCCGAGACCCCUGGGUCAUGACCUGAGCCGAAGGCAGAUGCUCAACCACUGAGCCACUAGGUGUCCCAGUGGAGGUAUUUCAAUUUACAGAUAGAAGCUUUACUCCUUUCAUAGCAGAAGUGGGAGAGGAUCAUUACUUUCAACUUACAAACAACCAAGACGCACUUCAAGAUCUUAGAGCUCAUGUGCACAGAGAUCUAUGCUUUAACUUCUAAUGUUUGAAACAGUAAAGCUUCCGUGACGUUGGUUGCUUUCGUUAAUAAGAUAACCAACAAUAUUACAAAUACACAAAGAAGUAUGAAGAAGAACGAAGAGACUUUCUACAAAUUUAUCUGGUAGAAAAAAUAAAUGUAUGCUUCCAAUAAGGGUAUCACAUUUUUCUAAACCUAGAGAGAAGUGAAUAAUGGCUAAUUAUGGAAAUUAUGUACUUUAUUAAGUCAAUUUAUACCAUUUCAUAAAUAACUUAGAAGAUUAGUAGAAUAGGAUCUUAUUUCAGAAUUCGAUGGGAACCAGUUGGGAUACUGUCAUAAUACCUACUAUUUCACAACAUGUAAGAGUCUUUUCCGCCAUUUGAGUUAUCUUUUAACGUAUAGUUUUACAAUUAUCUUCAUUAUCUAAAUUUAUCAGAGAAUGACUUAAACUUAUUUGCUACUUGGCUGUAAUAUAUUAACUGUUUUCUUGAGGGUUCAAGCUUGUAUUGAACUAUAUACCACUACAGCAAUGAUCUCAAACUUGACAAGCUUUCAAAAAUGUUGAAGCUAAUAUAAUUGAUGCUACAUUAAAGUCAGGUGUCCCUAUUUCAUUGUUUCUCAGUCUCAGCAGAUGAUUUUAAUGUAUACUCAGUGGUGAAAAUUCUACAUUAUCCCCCAAAACAUUAAAUAUUGUGAUGAAAAUAAUAUUAUUGCAAAUUGUAACUAACAUUGGCUAUUAUAUAAAAACACUUCUCAGUAUAGAGAAGAAAUUAGGAGCAUUAAGUUUCUCCGUUACUUACAUUACCUGUGAAAACAAUGGAGCAAUGUAAAAUGGUCAAAAAACUGUGGAUGCAAGCCCUGUCUCUGCCACAAGUCUUCAAGAGUGAAAACAAUGAAUUAUCUAAGGAUUCAAUUUUAUAAUUAAUAAAAUCAAUAAGUUGGCUUACCGGAUAUGUAGUAUCACUGGCUUACCAUGCUAAAAUUUGGGCAUUAUACAUAAUCAUUAUAAUUUAUGUAUCUAUAUAAAUGUUCUUUACUAUAAACCUUGUUUACUGAACAAAAUGUGAUUUUUAAAUUAAUUUUAAUGAGUUUACUGCUUUUUAAAUAGGAAUCAUUAUAAUUUUAGUCUUUAGAUAUCGGAACUCAUACUCGUAAAAAGAUUCAAAAAGAGAUUAAAUAUUUUUUUUCGGAAUUUUCUUCUUUCCUCUAAAAACCAAAAUUCCAUCUUUUUGCUGUUAGGUCACAAUGAAUAGCCUACAAUCAAUCAAUCACAGAAAAAAAUGACACUUUCUUGGGAAGUAACAUUAAAUAAUGUGAUCACAGAGUGCAAUGUUCUUAUUAAUGCACAUAAUAAAGAUGAAAUCAAUUUUAAAAAUGAGAUGCUAUUUGUUAAAACUGACCACAACUGAUAACAAUUCCUUUGUAUGAAUCUUUAAGGUUUUUUAGUAGAGAAGAUAUCACUUGUACUAUUAAAUGACUUCAUAUUUAACAGAUACUAAGACCUAAAGCUGUUUAUCUUCCAGGCUCCUUUUAUUUAAAAAUGAAGUGCCUUCCACUAAGAGAGUUCUAGCAAGAAAUGAAAAAAAAUGUUUUAAAAAGAAAAAUGAAAAGAAGGAGAAUGACAAAUGUAAGUGUCACCAACCACACUGCAAUUUCAGUCUUCAAGUUGAAAAGAUAAAUGAGACAUCAGGGGCAAACAGCUUUGUUAGCACAGCCUUGACAUAAGUUAUGGAAGGCGAACACAUCUUGGUACUCCAAGUUACAACAACUCACUCGCUUGUGAUAAAGCAUUUUUAUAUAUGUAUUGCUUUACAUCUUGCCCAUAUUCCUAAUUAUAAAAUCUUAUUUCAUUUUAAAAAUGUAAGUGACUUUUUGUUAUUUAAAGAAGUACACAAAAUCAAAGGCUAGACACAGUGCAACUACUGCAGUUUCUUCAGGUGCUAAACAUUGCUGUGAAUUUUUAAAUUUUUAAAUAGAGUUUUGCUAUGAUGUUUUUCAUGCUAAUAAGGCCGUACAACAGCAAACAUUGUGACAAUUAUGGUUUGUUAAAAAAAUGCCAUUACAGUUUAUUCCAUUUGCUGUAUUUAUAUUUGUGACAAUCAUGAGAUAGAUUUGAUAUGCAUGCAAAAACUUUAUAUAGAGUUUUCAAAUGGAAUAGAGAAACUGAAAAUUAUUCUAGGAUUUUGUGAAUAUUGUGAUAGACUUGCCUUUAGAGAAAUACAUAUAUAUGUAAAAUCUCUGAUAAUAUUUUCAGACUUCCUUGCAUUUAAAAAUUAUUUAUCAAAUCUCCUUGGAUGCGUACAAUUGAUUCUCAUGAAAAGCUCUUGCUGCAUAAAGAGAUUUCCAAGCUGAAAACAGACAGUGUGUGGCUUAAUGUUUGCCAAGUGUUGCCAUCUUAAAAUCUUGACUGUUGAAACAAUAACAUUUUGGCUGCUUUUAUAACACUCAUUUAAUGUUUACAGUUUAGUAAAUGUGCAUUUUUAUAAACAGAGGGCUUACCUAAUUAAACUGGACCAGUGUAAGAACUAGGUCAAUGUAUUGUGAACAAAAUAAUCCCAAUAUGGUUGGGUUACAGAACAGCUCAAUUUUACUCAUUGAGUUCUAUCGAUUUUUGGCAGAGAGGAAAGAAAGAAAGAACAGAUGGUAGAAGAAAGAAAUUGAGCUGCUGGGUGAUGGAAUACACUAUCACACUGAAUUAUAAAGAAUGGUGCUCCAGUCUCCUGAAUAGUUAUUUCAAUCAGGGUACAAAAUCAACACAUAUCACUUAUUCUGAAACAACACAAAUUUUUCAACAAAAAUGAGCAUAAAGUUCAGUUUCAAGUUGUGACCAUCCAGUGUUAAAAUUUGACGUCACAUGAAGGGGAAAGGUUGCUCUCUGUUGUUAGCUUAAUGAAACAUAAAUUGUAUUUCCUCAUUUGGGUUGGAAAAUGGAAAGAGACUUACACUUCCUCAAGGACAGUUUCAGUGUUCAGAUCUAAGGGAUUUAUACUACCUGAAAAUAAGAGAAGUUUUUAAAAAUAUAUGUAAACAGAAUGUAAACAUGUAAAUUAACACCUUUGCUGACAAAGAUUAGAGAGUGUUCGACAUUCAAAGAGACAAAAUCAGUAGAACAAUUCAUUCUUUUCAGAAUAAUAACAGUAAAUUAUCAAUUUAUCAUAAUAUGGCAAAUUAAUUUUUUUUAAUUUUAUUUAUUUAUUCGUGAGAGACACAGGGAGAGAGAGAGGCAGAGACACAGACAGAGGGAAAAGCAGGCCCCAUGCAGGGAGCCUGACAUGGGACUCGAUCCCGGUUCUCCAGGAUCAUGCCCUGGGCUGAAGGCAGCGCCAAACCACUGAGCCACCUGGGCUGCUUGGCAAAUUAAUUUCAUGUUGAUAUCGGCAUCCCUUUCAACUUAUUUUUAUUGCUUUAUAAUGUAAAUCUACAUAAAUAGCAUAGUGACCAGCUAUGUAGUAGUUAUAUGUAAGAUUUGUAAAAAAAAAAAUAAAAUGGAACAAAAAAUAAAAUCAUUAAGAAAAGAGAAGUCUUACACUUUAAAUGAACAAUAUAAGAAAAAAGUGUCCUAUUAAGAGAUGACCAAAUUAUCUUAAUGCUAAAUACCUUAAUUUUUUUUUACUAAACAUUAUAUUUAUUCUGCUUACAUGGAACAUAAUUAUUUUGACUUUUCUGCAUUUGCUGUACCAUGAGGAUAACAAUGUAAGCCGUAUUAAGUUGCUACAGUCAAAAAGAGAAAGAGCAGCUGUUAACUUCUAAGUUGAGUCAAAAUGGAAGAAAGCUAAGUGAUCAAAAGCAAGAUUUCACUAUACUUUCUCAAAUCUCAAAUACACUCUUUUUAAGUUUGUAUCAGAAUUUGUCUAUAUUUUGUGAGUCAACCAAUCAAUAUAUUCAUUUUGUGUAUCUCUACAAUCAUUGGGGUCGAUUUGAUUUUUGACCUCUAAAAUGCCAAAAAGAAAUUACUUGGUCAUUUCCAAGUCUCAUUGAGUUCACUGAUCAACCUUUUUCUGUCAAGGGUCAUAGAGUAAAUAUCUUUGGCACUGUAGACCAAGAGGCAACAUUGAAGGUUUUGUGUGGGUACUUCUAGAGCAAGAGAGAACAACAAAUUUACACUUUUUUUUUUUUUUUUUUACUGACAAAACUCAAAACUUGAUUUAUGGAAUUGAAGUUUGAACCUCAUAUAGUUUUUACAUUACAAAUAUUAUUCUUGUUUUGAUUUUGUUUUCAAUCUUUUAAAUAUACAAAAUGCUUCCUCGCUUGCAAGCUAUAAAGACAGGCAGCAGGCUGUUUAUCCCACAGGCCAUAAUUUCCUAACCUCUGAUUCAAUCUAUUGUACUAUUUUUGUUUUAGGAAGUAUCCAAUUUAUAGGUAGAAAUAUAAGUUGAUGUACCUGAGAAAGUGUAAGUCUCUUAACCUGUGAUAUGCAUUUCUGAUGUAUAUACUUGAAAGACUUUGAGAAGAACAUUAAUUUAAUGAGUAGAUUCUUUUUUUUAAGAAGAGCUAAUUUAUUUAUUCAUGAGAGACACAGAGAGAGAGGCAGAGACACAGGCAGAGGGAGAAGCAGGUUCCAUGAAAGGAGCCUGAUGUGGACUCGAUCCCAGGACUCCAGGAUCAUGCCCUAGACACUCAACUGCUGAGCCACCCAGGUGCCUCUAAUGACUAGAUUCUGAAUUCUUUUGGACCCUAUCACAAAGUAAAGGAUAGGUUUUUGUUUUUUUCCAACACUUUAUGGCCAUAGCUCAGGCAAAAUAUAGUGACAAGCAAUUAUUCUUCGAAGCAGAAGUACAGUUAUUAGUUAACAUCUUAGUUAUUAUCCACACCCUGAGUUUCUCUGUUUAAGGUAUUUGGACUGUCCUAUCAUCUUUUAAGAUACCAUUACUAAUUACAAAACAACAACAACAGUAAAAACAGUGACUUCCUUUAAACCAACUAUUUAAGGACAUUUAUAAAAAAUGCUAUGUGUUUAUUUUUUUAAUUUAUUUGAAAGAUUGGAUCAGGGAUGCCUGGGUGGCUCAACGGUUCAGUGUCUGCCUUUGACUCAGGUCAUGACCCCGGGGUCCUGGGAUUGAGUCCCACAUCGGGCUCAUGAAUAAAUAAAUAAAUAAAUAAAUAAAUAAUCUUUAAAAAAAGGAAGAAGGCAAGAAAGAAAGCUAGGAUAAAUAUAUCUAAUGUAAUGGAGAAACCCAGCAUGACAGAUUCUCUACUAAGCUGUGUAAAUGAUGGUGCCAUAUACCGAAUGGUAGAGGACAAGAGAAAGAGUCUGAGAGGAGGACAUGAUGAACUCAAGUUGACAGGAAUUCAAGCUACAUAUCAACUGAAGUUGAUACACCCAAUGGGAGAGACCCAGCCUGCAAAGCAGUACAUGUAUUUAAGAUCCACAAGUAGAAUAUGAAACAUAACUCAAAUCCUAAGGUCAGAAAUAUGAUAUAGUGCAUAACUGGUUCCUUUACUGAUUAUUUAUAAGUUUGCGACAGUCAAGGCACGUAUAAUUAAGUAUUCCAAUUGUUCUUCUGGGCACCUCUCAAAACAUUUUUUAAGUAAAAGAGCUGAAUUAAAAAGUAAAAUAUAACCUGUGACGUUCAUAGUUGCCAAAUUGUUCUUAUCCCUAAACAAAAGAACUCAUCACUUACUGUAAAACUAGAGAAGCUACAUUAUCUAAACAUAGUUUUUCUCUUUCUUCUUGAAAGACUGAUGAGCCUCUUAACAUUUCCUAAAGACUGCUCAUUUCAUUUAUGCUGAGAAGUAAUGCCUCCAAUAAAGCAUCUGCCAUAGAAUAUGACAAUCCACUCUAGUCUCUGAUUUCAUUCAUUUGUCAAAAAGUUUGCCAGAACUUGGGAACAUUUAUGUGAACCAGGUCCAAUUUGCCAGCGAUGUUGGGGCAGUAUUUGGAUGUUAGGAAGGGAUUUAUGGUUUAGAGAGUAAAUCCUGUGGAACACAGAGGUUUUGCAUUAUUUCAGCCUCAACCAUCCAUAUUACAGAAGUUUCACUUGAGUGUUGCAUAAAAUUUUCUUAAAGUCUAUAAUAAUGGUUUGUAUGCUAAAACAUCUUAAGUAUUAAAAGUCUAAAACAGUUUGCUUUUGUAAAAAUUACUUUUUAUAUAUAACGUUUUUUUAUUUCAGUAAACUUAAUUAUGUAAUAGCAUAUGAUUAGCUAUACAUUCCUGGAAAACUACAUAUAAUGACUCAAUUCAAAAACCAGUGAAAGAUUUUAUGGAAAAUCAUGUCAUUGUCUAAGUAAAGAUAUAGAAUAAAUAAAGAUCUAAAAUUAGAAUCUUAUAGUCCUAAUUGUU
This is a long non-coding RNA of Canis lupus familiaris (dog), 8012 nucleotides long. RefSeq lists it as uncharacterized. The transcript is spliced from 4 exons. The record is from RefSeq and is a predicted model, not a curated record. Lineage: Eukaryota; Metazoa; Chordata; Mammalia; Carnivora; Canidae.